CACACACACACACACACACACACACACACACACACACAUACUAACGAGGUUUUAAAGGACCCCUGUGACACCUGGGGCAAAGACAUAAAGCCCGUCACCUUCUGCAGUCAAGCGACAGAUGACCAUUUAAACAAGUCUUAUUUGGCAGGUAGUGAACAAGGCCAGUUCAAAUCAAUUUGCAUGGCAAAAGCCAUUGAAAAGCUACCGGAGAAGCCGAAAUGUACAAAUGCAAAGCGUGUACCCAUAACAGAAUCGAAAUGGCAUGUUGCUGUGGGUGUGACACACACACACACACACACACACACACACACACACACACAGAAAACGCUCUUGCUGCUACAAAGCAGCCCUGACCAGUGAGCACAGGUCCUUGCGCACUCUGAGGCACCCAGUGCUUAAUUCCUGACGUCAACUCGAGCUAACCACCCACCGGCUGCCUUCACCUCAACCCAUCUGUUGGUUCAUUAUUGCAUCUCCAGCCUGCCGAAGAGAGAGCACUGGCGGAGAAUGAAUUGGAGUCUAGCGCAUCACAGCACGUGAAAAGGAUAGCGAAUUGUUCAUUUCGGAACGUGUUCAAGCAAAAUGACCAAUGGAUUGAAGCAAAAUGUCUGCCAAAAAUAUUUAAAAGCUUGACAAUCUAUUACAUCAUGUCACUACUGUAUGAUUUUAGAAAUAUUACAGAAUGCUAUUUUUUUCCUCAUUAAAAUAGACGUUACAAAAA
Molecule: long non-coding RNA, 721 nt
Organism: Hippocampus comes (tiger tail seahorse)
Lineage: Eukaryota; Metazoa; Chordata; Actinopteri; Syngnathiformes; Syngnathidae
Exons: 2
Source: RefSeq, a predicted model, not a curated record